Molecule: long non-coding RNA, 644 nt
Filed under: Elaeis guineensis (African oil palm)
Lineage: Eukaryota; Viridiplantae; Streptophyta; Magnoliopsida; Arecales; Arecaceae
Description: long non-coding RNA (EGUI_LNC010272)
Source: RNAcentral
ACCAUGAGGCAUUAAUCUAAUGCUGCUAAAAUCCUGCCCAACCAUGAGGCAUCUCUAGACCAAUGUCCAUGAAAUCAGCGAAGAUUCAAGUCAGACCCAUAAGUUGGUCCGAGCCCCCUGUUGGUCAAGCUCUAAACUGAAGAUGAAGUAGUCGUCUGUCAUUGUACUCAUGUUGAGGAUGCCGAUCCUAUUCUCCAACCUAAAAUAAAAAAGAAUAUCCACUUGCUAGAAUUUGUCUGACAGGAGGCUCUUCGAUAUCGAAGUUAGGCAAGGAUCUUAGAGAAACAAUUAAGACUUGAGAAAGAGAAAUGGUAGCAUGAGUGUAGAGAAUGUCAAGAGAACAUACCUGGAGAUUUCUUAAGUACUAUUUAUAUAGGCAGCAAAACUGAGUAAGGCAGUCAUGCACUCUAAUUACUCAAUGACUAUCUGCAGUUGGUGCUAAUGCAUUAUGUCUGCACAUUGUGCUUGUUGUGCAUGAUCAUGGGCCAAGCUAUAAUAGGUGGUUAUUAGAGAGAAUUUAAAUGACGUUGUGAUAAUUUUUAAUGAGGGCUAUGUGGCAAACUUUUACUGAUUGGUGCAUCCAUGUUGGUAGAGGUGGGUUCCAAGGCAUAUCAUCCAAAAUCCACUGGAGUUGCAUAGAAUCG